Molecule: non-coding RNA, 89 nt
Filed under: Anoxynatronum buryatiense
Lineage: Bacteria; Bacillati; Bacillota; Clostridia; Eubacteriales; Clostridiaceae
Description: GEMM cis-regulatory element
Rfam family: c-di-GMP-I-GGC riboswitch aptamer
Source: RNAcentral
UCAUGAAAAAGGCAAACCUGUCGGAAGGCAGGGACGCAAAAUCACGGGUCUUGCAAGUGAAGAAAAAACAAGACAGCCGGAUUGCCAUG